Molecule: RNA transcript, 5541 nt
Organism: Ziziphus jujuba (common jujube)
Lineage: Eukaryota; Viridiplantae; Streptophyta; Magnoliopsida; Rosales; Rhamnaceae
Gene name: TMV resistance protein N
Exons: 6
Source: RefSeq, a predicted model, not a curated record
ACUUUAAUUAAUUAUCUGUGCUCUGCCCUUCUUCAUUGAGGAGAGAGUUUCGAUCUGUGGUAUCUUAUAUACAAGAAAAGCUAGCCAAGAAAUCUUUAAUUUUCCAAUUGAUAUUUUCCUUGUACUUGUGAAUUUGCAGCUGAUUAGAGCAAGCAUGGCUUCUUCUUCUUCUUCUCUUUCACUUGACGAAAAGUACGAUGUGUUUCUCAGCUUCAGAGGUGAGGAUACACGCGAUACUUUCACUAGCUACCUUUAUGCAGCUUUAUCAGCAAAGCAAAUCUCAACUUUCAUGGAUCACGAGCUUGAAAGAGGGGAUGAAAUUUCACCAACACUUAGCAAAGCAAUCGAGGAAUCCAAGAUUUCGGUGAUCAUUUUCUCCAAAAACUAUGCUUCUUCUACAUGGUGUUUGGAUGAACUCGUGCAGAUACUUGAAUGCAAGGAAAGAAGAGGGCAGGUUGUUAUGCCAAUCUUUUACGGCAUAGAUCCAUCGGAUGUACGAAAACAGAAGGGGAGUUACAAAAUUGCAUUUUCUGCACAUGAAAAACGUUUCCAUGAUAGAAUGGGAAUGGUGAAUCAAUGGAGAGCUGCUUUAACAGAAGCAUCCAAUCUAUGUGGCUUGGAUUCAAAGGAUUUCAGGCCUGAAAACAAGUUAGUUCAAAAAAUUAUUGAAGACAUUUCAACGAAAUUGCCUAAGUAUCUUUCAUCAAAUAUGCAUAUCAAUGGACAUCUUAUAGGAAUUGAAAAAAAGAUCAAGGAAAUUGAAUCAAAAUUAUGCACUGGCAUAAAAGAUGUUCGCAUUAUAGGUAUUUGGGGCAUGGGAGGUAUUGGCAAGACAACCCUUGCUAGUGCUGUUUUUCAAAGAUUGUCGUAUUUUCAAUUUGAAAGUUACUGCUUUCUUUGGAAUAUUAGGGAAGAAUAUUUAAGGUGUGGACCAAAUUAUUUGAGAAAGAAACUUCUGUCCGAGUUAUUAAGUGAUGAAUCGAUUUUGAGGAUGGACACUCCAUUUGUAGCAUCACCUUUUAUUCAUGACAAACUCAGCCGGAAAAAGGUGCUCAUUGUUCUAGAUGAUGUGGACAGUUCAACCCACUUAGAAGCUUUAGUAGAAGGAUAUGAUCACUUUGCACCUGGGAGCAGAAUCAUUGUCACAACUCGAAAUGUGCAAGUACUAAUUAAAAAAGAAGCUGAUGAUAUUUACAAGCUUGAAUGGUUAAAUAAGAAUGAAUCUUUAGAGCUGUUCAGUUUGCAUGCUUUUGGAAAAAGUUUUCCUUCAAAAGAUUAUGAACUGCUGUUAAACCGUGCGACAAGCUAUGCUGAUGGAAAUCCAUUAGCUCUUAAAGUCUUGGGUUCUUUCCUUCGCUCCAAAAGCACAGAUGAAUGGGAAAGUGCACUAAAUAAACUGAAAACAACUCCCAACAAGGACAUUUUAGAUGUGCUGAGAAUCAGUUAUAAAGGACUAGAUGAUCAAGAGGUCAAAAAUCUAUUUCUUGACAUUGCAUGUCUAAUUAAUCAAUCUUUUACUAGAGAUGAUAUAGAAAACAUGUUAGAUGCAGGCCAUUCUUUUGUGAAAAUAGGAUUAACUGUUCUUAUUGAAAAGUCUUUAAUUGAAAGUCAUGAAGACAACAAGCUAUGGAUGCAUGAUUUGUUGCGGCAAGUGGGCCGGACAAUUGUUCUUGAUGAACAUAGAGAACCUAGUAAUCGUAGCCGAUUGUGGGAUGUCAGAGAUGUUUGCCAUGUCUUGGAAAGAAACACGGGAACUGCAGCAGUUGAAGGCAUCUCAUUUAACAUGGCUGAGAUUAGUAAAGAUGUUAAAUUGUGCCAUGCAGCCUUCUCAGAGAUGUAUAAUCUACGAAUUCUCAAAAUUUAUUGUGACAAUAUUGAUGAGAACAAGUUCAAACUGUACAUUCCCCAAGGUCUUGGUUCUUAUCUUUCUAAUAAGCUAACAUAUCUUCGGUGGGAUUUAUACCCUUUAAAAUCUUUGCCAUCAAAGUUUUCUCCUGAAAAUCUUGUUGAGCUGGUACUACGUGGCAGCCAUAUUCAAAAACUUUGGAAUCAUCAUGAAGUUAAGUCUCUUCCAAUAUUAAGGAGGAUCGAUCUUAGCUAUUCCAAGUUCCUUACUCAAAUACAAAAUCUGUCUCUGGCUCCGAAUCUGGAAAGUAUAAAUCUUGAAGGGUGUAAAAGUUUGGUUCAUGUUCUUUCAUCUCUUCAAAAUCUUGACAAGCUUACAUAUCUAAAUUUGAGUGGCUGCUCCAAACUCAGAGAUUUUGAAGAUAUAUCAAAAACAACAGGGGGGUACUUGGAUGUUGCAAGGUUAGGAGGCAUUAAUAAUCUUUUAAUUAAUUUCACAUUUCUCAGAAGUUGCAUCCGAAGUUUUAUGGGCAAUUUUUGUCCCUACUCAACUCAGGGUCACAUUUCCCAAAAGUUUGCACCCAAUUUAAGAUGUUUACUUUUACGUGAGACAGCUAUAGAGACAGUGCCCCCAUCAAUUGGGGAUCUCUCGGGUCUUGUGAAAUUAGAUUUGAGUUAUUGCACAAGACUUAAAAGUCUUCCAUCAAGCAUUUGUCAUUUGAAAUCUCUUGAAUCACUGCAUAUGUCUGGUUGUAAGAAACUCAAAACAUUUCCAGAAAUCUUGGAGCCUAUGGAACACUUGAGAACUUUUUGGUUAGAUAACUCGGGGAUUAAAGAGUUGCCAGAGUCGAUUGAAAAUCUAGUAUUCCUGAAAGAAUUAUAUAUACAGCGGUGCAAAGACCUUGAGUUUCUCCCCAACCGUCUAUGUAAAUUGAGGAACCUUGAGAAGAUAUUGCUCAACCACUGUUCAAAAUUUGAAAAAUUGCCUUCCCUUCCACCGUCUUUGCUCCACUUGUCUCUGAAUCAUUGUGAGAAAUUGAAAUCUUUACCAGAGCUUCCAUCACUGUGUUUGGAAUUGUAUGCAAUGUACUGCACGUCACUGGAGAAAAUUUUAAAAUGGAGGGCUCCACUAUUAGACAAUCUGGGUAUUGAUGUCACUGGAAGAAGGGGUGAUACUCUUCAAACUUUUGACUUUUAUGGAUGUGAAAAUUUGGUUCAGAACACAUGCAACACCAUGCUCGCUAAUCUUGCAGUAAUUCAAAUUCUGUCUCGUCUAAAAUUUGUAACAGCUGGCACAGAUAACAUUAAUGUUCUAGUUUUACGCCAUCCAGGAGAUGAAAUUCCAAAGUGGUUCAGCUAUCAAACUUGUGGGACUUCAAUCAAUAACAUUAUGCUUCCUCCAUAUUGGAAUAAUGAUGACUUGUUGGCUUUGGCUUUCUGCAUUGUUCUUCGUCGGAAUAUAAUUGACCAUGGUAUAGACUUCUAUAUUCAUUGUGAGCUAAAUCUUAAAACCAUCGAUGAUGGCCGUCUUUACAAAUAUCAUGAUUAUUCUUGGUGGAUAUCGGAAAACAAUGUUAGAUCAGAUCACGUGCUCAUAUGGUAUGUAGAAAAACGGUCUUUACAAUAUUCAGAAUGGAAUAAAUUUAGCAAAGAAAUGGAUGGACUAAAUUGGCCCUCCACUUGUAGCACUGAGGCCUCUUUCCAUGUCCGUCCCUUUUUUAUUGAUAGCAGCGAGCAAGCUUUAGACAUUGGAAGUGAUCAAGCAAGACAUGAGUAUGCCGAGAUUAAGAAGUUUGGGGUUCGGUUUGUGUACAAACAAGACAUGGAGAGAUGUGAUGCAGAAACUGAAAGAAAGAAUAAGAGACAUUUCAAUGAAUGUUGUGAAUCAAGUGGAAGUGAAGCUGUUGACUCUCUUGAGGAAGAAGACGAUGAUCAUGAAUCACAUUCAAAGAAACUCAAGGUUAUAUGACCGUUUAGAAGAUGCAGAGCAAUUGGAUGUUGAGGAACGAAAAAAACAGAACAAUUUUGUGCUACAACUUCGAGAAAUGCUUUGCAGCUAAUUAUGAAAUCAUUAUUGGCACUGAUGUAUAUGAACAAGAAAAUCAAAUAUUUGUCUCCUAAGGUAAAUCCAUUUACUUUGUUUUUUCGGUAAAUUUAAUUUGUAUGAGUUAGUAUACUCUGUUUACAACAUGCGUUUUGUAAUAUUUUGAUGGUACUAAUAUAUAAACUAAUAAGUUUACAAAUUGUAGGGUAAUUUCUUAAGGAAAAUUUUGUCUUUUGUUUGAAAUGAUAGACAUAGAGGGGGAAAAAAUUGACAUGAAAAGUAUUUUGAUGGACUUUUCAUGUAUAUAUUGAUGAACUUCGUUCAUCACCAUUUGGCAUGUCUUUUGUAGUUUCAGGCUUUGAAGAAUAUGAGUGUGAGCUAUGCAGACACCAUGGCACGUAGCUUCAAAUGAAUGAAUGGCUAUAGUUGUUGGCCAGAUGGCAGCCAUGCACCCAUUUGAUAAAACGCAAAGCAAAAGUCAAGACACGCAAACUUGGAACUAUCCUCCUUACUAACCCACUGCUUCGGCUGGCUAGUAGCUCUAUAUACCUCACAUUAAAUUUUCAUAUAUAUAUAAUACAACCAUACAAGAACAACCAUUUUUCCAGCUGAUCUAAUAAAAUGGAGAAAAUGGAGAGAGAGAGAGAGAAACAACUUCUGCAACGUAUGUCUCUACGUUUUCAUAUCUCUAUGCUACUGCUACACCAUAGCUAAGUUUGUUCCAAUAGGUGUUCUGGACUCUUUGCCUUACUACCAAUUAUAUCUCACUUCCUUUUCUUACCUCUCAAACUCUCCUCUGCCAAUCUUGGAGGCAACACAGCUUUAUUCAUAGCUUGGCUUGCCAACUUCAAGCUCUUACUUUUCGCUUUCCAUCAUUGCUUCCCUUUGUCGAGCUCUUCUGGCGCUUGAGCUGGAGCCGCAGUUCGAUGAACCAUAUCUCGCCACAUCUCCACAGGACUUCUGGUCAAGGAGAUGGAACCUCAUGGUCAGCAACAUCCUCAGUCUCGCUGUCUAAGGAACCAUCGUUAAAGCUCUCGGCCAGUGUCACCGGCCGAAAGUGGGCUUUCACUUCCGGCGAUCAUGUUAAAAUUUACAGUGUCGGAGAUCAUGCAUGAGCUCAUGUUUUACCAUUUGGGAGGUCACCUGGUUCUCUAUCCUUUAUGGGGUUUGUUUAGUGGUUGAGAUUUGUUUGAAACAGGUUUUGACCCCGAAAGUUCCGGUUACCAAGAUUGAUAGCAAGGCUGUUUGACCAUCGGAUUCGAUAUGGUUACGGCGUCUUGGCUUUUCUUUCCACCGCUCCUCAAGUGUAACGCUGAUGUUACAACAUCUAAUGAGUACACGACGGGGGCUGCAUGUGUUCGUGAGAAAGAAUGUUGGGAGUGCUUUCUCUUUGAAACAAUAUUUGAUCAUAUAUGCAUAGAUCACCAAAUUAAAGAAUUAUAUGGUGGAUUAUUAGAGAAAAGUUAUGAACAAGCUGACCGAUGACAGGUAGGAGAUAAUUUCUUUUGUAUCCCGGGCUCCUUGCAAGCAGAGAGAUGCCAUAAAUCUUUUAGAACAUGAUCAUAGAUUAUGUGAUUAAAUUCUGCCAUUGCAUGUUAAAUACAUAAACUGAAAAGUCUUAUAAUAAACAAAUUGAACGAUAUUGUAAACAA